UGCAGUCGAACGAUGACCACAUUCGGUGGGGAUUAGUGGCGAACGGGUGAGUAACACGUGGGCAAUCUGCCCUGCACUCUGGGACAAGCCCUGGAAACGGGGUCUAAUACCGGAUACUGAUCAUCUUAGGCAUCUUGGAUGAUCGAAAGCUCCGGCGGUGCAGGAUGAGCCCGCGGCCUAUCAGCUAGUUGGUGAGGUAAUGGCUCACCAAGGCGACGACGGGUAGCCGGCCUGAGAGGGCGACCGGCCACACUGGGACUGAGACACGGCCCAGACUCCUACGGGAGGCAGCAGUGGGGAAUAUUGCACAAUGGGCGAAAGCCUGAUGCAGCGACGCCGCGUGAGGGAUGACGGCCUUCGGGUUGUAAACCUCUUUCAGCAGGGAAGAAGCGAAAGUGACGGUACCUGCAGAAGAAGCGCCGGCUAACUACGUGCCAGCAGCCGCGGUAAUACGUAGGGCGCGAGCGUUGUCCGGAAUUAUUGGGCGUAAAGAGCUCGUAGGCGGCUUGUCACGUCGGUUGUGAAAGCCCGGGGCUUAACCCCGGGUCUGCAGUCGAUACGGGCAGGCUAGAGUUCGGUAGGGGAGAUCGGAAUUCCUGGUGUAGCGGUGAAAUGCGCAGAUAUCAGGAGGAACACCGGUGGCGAAGGCGGAUCUCUGGGCCGAUACUGACG
RNAcentral lists this ribosomal RNA (672 nucleotides) under Streptomyces sp. EECC-399. RNAcentral describes it as "bacterial SSU rRNA". It matches the Rfam family "Bacterial small subunit ribosomal RNA", at positions 56 to 745 of the family's 1533-position model. Lineage: Bacteria; Bacillati; Actinomycetota; Actinomycetes; Kitasatosporales; Streptomycetaceae. The record is from RNAcentral.